Molecule: small nucleolar RNA, 182 nt
Organism: Solea solea (common sole)
Lineage: Eukaryota; Metazoa; Chordata; Actinopteri; Pleuronectiformes; Soleidae
Product: small nucleolar RNA SNORA81
Exons: 1
Source: RefSeq, a predicted model, not a curated record
CCCUUCUGCAUUAAAAGAACUCUGCUAUAAUUGUGUGAUCCAGAUUGAAUCUGUUUCACGCACUAAUGCUAGCAGAGUAUUGUGUAGAAGGAGAUCAUUGUGCACUCUACCGGAAAUGAGAUGUGGUCGAACCUCUUUCUUAAUGUUCGAUGGCCUCCUUCUCAAGGUCUAGUGCCAUAAAG